GAAUGUUAAUGAAACAGGCUUUGCUUGCUCUCUUCUGUCAAGUCUCUUUUUAAGCUCCUUGUAAUCUUAUGUGUCUCUCUCUGUUUCUCAAUACUGUAUGGAAUCAAAAGCUAUCUGCUUAACCUAAGACAUCAAUAAAUGCAUUGAGACCAAGUAAAUGCUUGAAGGUGAACAUGUGUAAGAAAAAUGUAUUCAAGCCAAGAUCUUAAACUAAACAUGUAUACGUUUUGUGAUCAACUUUUUUUAUUAAAAUGUGGGAGAAACUUUUGAUUCUUGACAUCUGUAUUCUGUUACAAGAAAGCUCAUCAAAUGUCUAUUAGGUUCUAAAACUAAUCCUAGUGAGGUUUGAUUCCCAACAUCCCAAGCAACGAUUGCUCCUGCAUUAGCAGGUAAUGCUCUCAGGAUGGUUGGACCCAAAUCUGCAUAGCAUCCCUUAAGUCCAGUCCUCUUGUGAAUCUGCAUAAGAUGAUUUUAAAAAUGUCAAAAACACACUAUUUUUGUGUUAUAUGACUCAUUAGAUCGGUAAUCAAUUUUGUACCAUCUAACAAACUAUGUAUCAGCCAACAUCAGCUAUUUAUUAACAUCUUACAAACCAUUUUAAAAAGCUUCAACAUUUUUUGUAACAGAUAAGCAAACAUUUAUCUGUCCACAAUACUUAAUUUGUAGAAUUUAAUCAAAUAUUUAUCAAUUAAGUUUUUUAAUAGCAACUACAUAUACUUGCAAUAGAAAUGUUAAAUUCAUGUUUUUUAAUCGAUGUCGGGGACACCCCACUCUUCUGAAUAUAUGGCCCAUCCAUACAAAUAUGUGUUUGACCAGCACGUGAAUUGACACUCAUUAAAUCCAAGCAUUGUGUAAAAUGAAAUAUACAUAACUGAAAACUAAUUGCAUCUGUAAAAAUAGAAAAAAAAACAAGAAGAAUUCAUUAUACAAGUGAAAAAAUAUAAAUUAUAUUAGAGAAUCUAAAGAGAUAUGAAAGGGAGAGAAAAAAUAGAGAAAGGAGAAACCGUUUGGAAAUGAGAAGUUAUGGAGAUACAAAAGAAAAAAAAACAAAAGAAGGUGAUAGUUUGGUCAGGGGUAAUAUAUGAUUAUGAAAAUGUUAAUAGUGUCAAAAAUAGUGUUAGGGUAGUUAGCUAAUAUUGGUUUUUUUUUUUUUGUGUAUAUCUUCUUUUAAUAUACAGGAAGAUGAAUGUGUUACCCAUACAAUAAUAAUAGAGCAUUAAAGCUUGAUCGUACUUUAUUUUACACAACAUGUUAGUACAUGAAGAGAAAGAAGACGAAAAAAAUGAGUGAAAUUUUGUGGUCCAACAACUUAAGCACCUUAAGAUCCUUCCUCACUUUUGUUUCUGGGGUCCUUAAGUUCUCUUCAAACGUUUACUUUCACAUCUUCUCCUCUUGUUAUAUCUUUCAUGUGAGAGAGGAAGAGAGUAAUAUUUUGAAGAUGAGUACGAGAAGAAGCAACGCAGAAGGGAAGAGGAGUUUAAGAGAAAUGAGUGAGGAAGAGGAGGAUACAUUUGAAGAAGAAGACGGAGAAGAGCAGGAGGAAGAAGAGGCUUCAGAGAAGAAGCAGAAAGGCAAAGCUACAAGUAGUAGCAGUAAUAGUGGAGUUUGUUGUCAGGUGGAGAGAUGUACUGCGGAUAUGAGCCGAGCCAAACAGUACCACAAACGACACAAAGUCUGUGAGUUUCAUGCCAAAGCUCCUGUUGUUCGGAUCUCUGGUGGUUACCAACGUUUCUGCCAACAAUGCAGCAGGUAACAUCUCUCUCUCUCAUGAACUCUAUCUUCCCCUCCUCCCACAACAACCAAAAACAAGAAAAAGAAUGAUGAGACAUUUUUAACUUUGGUUUCUACAAGGUUUCAUGACCUCCGUGAGUUUGAUGAAGCCAAGCGGAGUUGCAGGAGACGCUUAGCUGGACACAAUGAGAGAAGGAGGAAAAGCACAAAUGAAUAAAACCUGUCUGAAUGUUAAUGAAACAGGCUUUGCUUGCUCUCUUCUGUCAAGUCUCUUUUUAAGCUCCUUGUAAUCUUAUGUGUCUCUCUCUGUUUCUCAAUACUGUAUGGAAUCAAAAGCUAUCUGCUUAACCUAAGACAUCAAUAAAUGCAUUGAGACCAAGUAAAUGCUUGAAGGUGAACAUGUGUAAGAAAAAUGUAUUCAAGCCAAGAUCUUAAACUAAACAUGUAU
RNAcentral lists this long non-coding RNA (2179 nucleotides) under Brassica napus (rape). RNAcentral's name for it is "long non-coding RNA (BNAP_LNC003712)". Lineage: Eukaryota; Viridiplantae; Streptophyta; Magnoliopsida; Brassicales; Brassicaceae. The record is from RNAcentral.